GGGGGAUAACCAUUGGAAACGAUGGCUAAUACCGCAUAACCUCGCAAGAGCAAAGCAGGGGACCUUCGGGCCUUGCGCUACCGGAUAUGCCCAGGUGGGAUUAGCUAGUUGGUGAGGUAAGGGCUCACCAAGGCGACGAUCCCUAGCUGGUCUGAGAGGAUGAUCAGCCACACUGGAACUGAGACACGGUCCAGACUCCUACGGGAGGCAGCAGUGGGGAAUAUUGCACAAUGGGCGCAAGCCUGAUGCAGCCAUGCCGCGUGUAUGAAGAAGGCCUUCGGGUUGUAAAGUACUUUCA
Molecule: ribosomal RNA, 298 nt
Filed under: Vibrio cholerae
Lineage: Bacteria; Pseudomonadati; Pseudomonadota; Gammaproteobacteria; Vibrionales; Vibrionaceae
Description: partial 16S ribosomal RNA
Rfam family: Bacterial small subunit ribosomal RNA
Source: RNAcentral